UGGAACUAUUUACAUGGGAAUGCAAAGAAAAGCCUUGUUAUCAGACAAGAUGUCAUCAUUACAAGAAGACACAGAAGGCAAAGCAACAACUUUGUUAUCAUUACAAGAAGCAGAUGCAGGACCAACAGAAGUAGAAGAACAAUUAACAGAGGGAGAAGGGGAAGAAGGAACCCAAGCUAAUUUAUACAGUCCAGCAACUUCUCUACCAAGAUCCAGUGGCCUCUUCAGAGAAGGGUCCUGUAUCAUGUGUAGUAAGCAGGAAUGUUCAGUGAACAUAACUAUACAAUGUAACUGCUUCACUAACUUGUGAACAGAAAUCAAGUUAUGUUUAAAAGAAGGAACUAGCAGUACAUUGUGAAGAGUAAUGGAAGGAGUUAAGGCAAAGGAGCCAGUGCAAGUCACUUUCACUUUACAGCCAUUUGGAAGAGUGACAAGAUAUGGCAGAGUUAGAAGUAUAAUGUUAAAAAGUAGUUGUUUAUCA
This 481-nucleotide long non-coding RNA is filed under the name Nicotiana benthamiana. RNAcentral describes it as "long non-coding RNA (NBEN_LNC020410)". Lineage: Eukaryota; Viridiplantae; Streptophyta; Magnoliopsida; Solanales; Solanaceae. The record is from RNAcentral.